CAGGGAAUCUUGCGCAAUGGACGGCAGUCCGACGCAGCGACGCCGCGUGGGUGAAGACGGCCUUCGGGUUGUAAAGCCCUUUUCUGGGGGAAGAGAUAGGACGGUACUCCAGGAAUAAGUGUCGGCUAACUACGUGCCAGCAGCCGCGGUAAUACGUAGGACACGAGCGUUAUCCGGAUUUACUGGGCGUAAAGCGCGUGUAGGUGGUUUGGUAAGUAGGGCGUGAAAGCUCCUGGCUCAACUGGGAGAGGCCGUUCUAUACUGCCGAACUAGAGGAUGGUAGAGGGAGGUGGAAUUCCGGGUGUAGCGGUGGAAUGCGCAGAUAUCCGGAGGAACACCAGUGGCGAAAGCGGCCUCCUGGACCAUUCCUGACACUCAGACGCGAAAGCUAGGGUAGCAAACGGGAUUAGAGACCCCGGUAGUCCUAACCCUAAACGAUGUAGACUAGACGUCGCGGUGUAAUAGCUGUCGGUGUCCAAGCUAACGCGAUAAGUCUACCGCCUGGGGACUACGGCCGCAAGGUUAAAACUUAAAUGAAUUAACGGGGUCAUAGC
RNAcentral lists this ribosomal RNA (554 nucleotides) under uncultured bacterium. Its description in RNAcentral is "partial 16S ribosomal RNA". It matches the Rfam family "Bacterial small subunit ribosomal RNA", at positions 355 to 925 of the family's 1533-position model. The record is from RNAcentral.